UUUACUACUGCUUGGAUCGAUGGCAGUGGCAGUGUCUUGAUAGAACAACGCCACUAUAUGCUAUAUAACGAGCUAACUGGAGAAACCCGUCGCUACUCUAGAUUAGACCCUGCAGUUCUCGGUUCUAAUCGGUGGAUUUAUCUGUUUGUACUGCAAUAAAACUUCUGGUUUUUAGGUUUCUACAACUGUUGCCACCAUGGCGAGGUUCUACAGGACCAUUCAGUGCCUCCUCAGUCGAAAUCUCGACUGGGCCUACCAGGAAACCCUGAUCGAAGCGUGCGUUGUCAUCUUCUUUGCAUUCCACUCCGGCCUGAUUUUGGGUUUCCGGGCCUUCCCAGAAAAGCAGAUCCUCACGGGAAUGUGACUAUGCUCAAGCCACUUAAUAUUACAUCUCAGCAAUCUGUCAUUGCGCUAAACGAAUCUUCCCCGGAUCGGAUCAAUUCAUCCGGAACGCCACUGUUCAACAUUUCUCAGGAGCCGUUCCACCCGAUAAGCACGAACUCCAUGCAACCGGCACCAGCAACCCCACUGAAUCGCCGUUCCGCUGCCUACACCGUUGGGCUGGCCACCAUCUUGUUUGUUUCGCUGGCCAGUUCGCUCGUGGUCAACCGACACUGGCGCUACUCCAUCGGCCAGCAACAUCUGCGAUACUGCCGCACGAUCACGAAAUUCUUCGGUUACCGUGAUAAUGCGGAGAAUGUACUGGAUUUCCUCAACGCCUCGUAUCAUCCGCUACGAACGGCGCUGAACGCGGUAUUACUGGGGACUAUGUGGCUAAUAUCCGUGAUAGCAAGCUUAGUCGUUGCGGUGGCGCCUCUCAUCGUCGCCGAUUUCCUUUUGCCGGUGAUCAUGAGUAUUCACGGUCACGAAAGCGAGUUCCCGUAUCGCCUCCGCUUCUUCUGCGGUCUGUGCAUUCAUUCGACAGGCAGGAUUUUGGGAUUGUGGUCGUCUAAGACUUGUUUCUCGUACAUUGCUAACGACAUCCAUCAACUUUUGGGUUGGAAAAUCUUGAUUGCCGAACGUAAGAAGCGUAGUUCCCUUGAAGUACCGUCAUCGUUCCAAAAGAAACCCCGCAUUCGGCAUUUGCAUGGACAUACUAUUUCGAAGAUUCGCCGGGUGGCAGCGUUUUUUCUCUGUAUUUCUGUUUCAUGAAGGCGUGGCCAAUAUGCGCCAAGUUCCUCAUUGUCAGACAUUGGAGUAGCGGAACGAAUUUGGAGAGCUUUGCCCAUUCCUUUACUCUUACCGAGAAACCAGAUGCCAAAUCUGUCGGGAUACUUUCGAAAGUCCAACGGAGUACAAACCAGGCACCGCCAUGCUGUCGUACUGGCCGUGCCGAGCAUCGGAGAACCUGGCCGCCCAGCAUGUGAACAGUUCUGAUUCCCGGCUCUACUCCCUGCUGAUAGCUACAUACUCCGUUGGAUGGCCGUUGGCCUGGAGCGGGGUGUUAUUGAUCCUUGCUUGCUUACCUCUGGUGGCGGUGGCAUUCCAGCCCCCCGAUUGCGGUGCUAUGCCACUGGAGAUGGGCCUCGAUCACCUUGCAAAAUUCUGCACUCGAGCGCUUGCGGCCGCCGUUCAGUCAGAUACGAAUCGGGAAGAAAACGAAGCAGAUGACCGUGCGAACGCCAGACCGACAAAAGAGUCCUCGAACCGGGCGUUCAACACCUUUUGGGAUGGCCUCUGCCCGGAAGCCAUUGAAUGGAUGGGGUGUCAGUUUAAGUCCCUGGAUAAGCACCGUGCCAGCAUGCCAGAAGAAACCUACAUUUCCAAGGUGCUCGAAAUAUUUACGGGAACCCGCGCUAUCAGCUGCGAAUUGGAGUUUUGCGUAUGCGCAUCGUGGGCGCACUUGGUUCUGGCGCCGCUGAUGGCCUUUGCUCCCUACUUGUGGUGCUCCGUUCUGCCGACGCCGUUGGUGGAACUGUUCCUGCCGGAGCGUCUUCAACUGCCCGGCUUACUGCUGCUGCUAACCGGUAUCAUAGUGUGGGCGUACGGAAUAUUUAUUCGGUCGGUGCGGACGCGUUGUGCAUGCGGGGAACAUGCGUCACUGGAAAACCACGACGCGGCUAAUGAAGAGGACUGACCUUUGACGUGCACCAUCGGGGAACCGCUACACCGCCGGCAGUGGUUCAGAAAGUAACUGCUCCCUCUUAAGGAGAAACCAAAUUAUCUCUUUUCCCAUUUUUUAUCUCAAGAUAAUGAUUUUGGUCUUUAUUUUAUUUUUAUCUGCCAUGGCACUGCGUCGAGAUUGGCAAUUUUGUCAUCCAUUUUCUAAGCCAAAUGCAAAGAUGGCUAAUUUAAGCGGUCAGGUACUUUCCAUCCGGUAAUUAAUUUCAUAAGUAAUACCUAGUUUGGCUGGCUUCAUAUUCUAACCUUUAACCAAACCGAUGACGUGCUGGUUUGGUCGUCGUAUGUCUUGAUGUCCUUACAGUGCUUUUAAAGUACUGUAGCCGCUAGAUGAAGUGGCUCCACAGAGUUGG
This is an RNA transcript of Paramacrobiotus metropolitanus, 2474 nucleotides long. RefSeq lists it as uncharacterized. NCBI's taxonomy places the organism in Eukaryota, Metazoa, Tardigrada, Eutardigrada, Parachela, Macrobiotidae. The transcript has 5 exons. The record is from RefSeq and is a predicted model, not a curated record.